This is an RNA transcript of Malania oleifera, 3697 nucleotides long. It is a transcript of the gene named pentatricopeptide repeat-containing protein At1g08610, with no coding region annotated. NCBI's taxonomy places the organism in Eukaryota, Viridiplantae, Streptophyta, Magnoliopsida, Santalales, Ximeniaceae. The transcript is spliced from 4 exons. The record is from RefSeq and is a predicted model, not a curated record.
AUAUUUUUAUAUAUAAAAAAAACCAAAAAAGGAAAAAACUGACAAUUUGGGUCGGAUAGUUGAGCACUCGUAGAACCCUAGUGAAUGCUUAUGAGGAAUCAACGUACUUCUCCAGCUUCAACCUCCGAACUAGGUUACAAAUGCUACAGGGACACGAGAAGGAGCUGAGCUUCAAAGUUUUCUCGUUCUAGCGAUCUUCAAUUUUUUCCAAGUAUUGUGCUUGAAGAUUUUGGAUUGCUUGUUUAUGUGGUGUAUGUUCUCUGGGAGAAGGUUAGAGAAACCUGAAGAGUUGUGACGAAAUAAUCUGUCUUCAUUUAAAGUUCAAUUGGCCAUUGAAGAAAGUAAGGGCUUCUCCUUCAUGGGAAACUAGCUAUGGUUCUGCUCACUUGCAUCUGAUUGGGAGGGAUUUUCUGAUUAGGGGAACAGAUGUUCUAAGACAUGCAAUUUUUCUGAAAUCUGUUUCUAGAUGAGGCACAUGAUUAUCCCACAGAAAUCUGUUGUUGAAGUUCCUUGUUGGCAUGGAUUGCAUGCUUGUUCCAACCGAAAGUAUCUUAGCUCUAGUAUUGGCUGUCAUUCUUUGAUGAAAACAUCAGUGCUUCACUAUAAUUGUUCAAUUAAGGGUAAGUGUGGAACCCCAUGCAGUUUAAAAUGGAGGCAAGGGGCUGCUUUAGGACAAACUGCUGUUUCUCGACGGAGUAUAUGUGAACAGAGAAAUGCUUGCAUUGACAAGGUUGAUCAAAAUGACCAAGAUGAUAGGAGAUUUGGAAGACACAUGAUGAAUGUUGAGAAAAAUCUUGGGGAACAUAUGAACUUGAGGAAAGAUUCAAAUGCUUUGCAACUGCAUCUAGAUGGACCCUUAGUUGAAAAUGAUGAGGAAACUAAUAAUAAAAUCCUGCAGAAUUUCUGCAGCUUUGGGAACUUAACAGAGGCGUCAAAGCUUAUAGAUAUUAUGGCUCGUCGAAACCAAAUUCCUCACUUCCCUUCUUGUAUAAACUUAAUUAGAGGCCUUGUUAACGUUGAUCAGAUAGAUAAAGCUUCCAAAGCCCUAAAUAUCAUGGUCAUGUCUGGUGGUGUUCCAGAUGUUAUCACAUACAACAUGAUGAUUGGUGGUCUAUGUAAGACAGGACAGUUAAAAUCUGCCCUUGAUCUGUUAGAGGACAUUUCCUUGAGUGGUUGCUCUCCUGAUGUGAUUACUUUUAAUACGAUCCUUCGCUGCAUGUUUGAUCAUAGUAGAUUUGAUCAGGCCAUUGGAUUUUGGAAGGAGCAACUAAGAAAGGGAUACCCUCCUUAUUUUAUCACUUACACAGUUCUCAUUGAGCUAGUCUGCAAGCAUUGUGGGAUUGAACAGGCCAUGGAGGUAUUGGAAGAUGUGGCAGUUGAGGGCUGUUACCCUGACAUUGUUACCUACAAUUUGCUGGUAAAUUCUACUUGUAAACAGUCAAAAUAUGGACUCACAGCUUUGGUGAUACAUAAUCUUCUCUCAUGUGGAAUGGAGCCCAAUGCCGUAACUUACAACACUAUUCUCCAUUCUCUUUGUAGUCAUGGGUAUUGGGAUGAAGUUGAAGAGAUCCUCUCAAUCAUGAAUGAAACUUCUCAUCCUCCCACCGUUGUUACUUAUAAUAUCUUGAUCAAUGGUUUGUGUAAGCAUGGGCUUUUGGAUCGUGCUAUCAACUUCUUUGAUCAAAUGGUUUCCCGAAAUUGUUCACCUGACAUUAUCACAUAUAACACCCUGCUAGGUGCUCUUUGUAAAGUGGGAAUGAUAGACGAGGCAGUGGAAAUACUUCAUUGUUUAGAUGAUACCAUCUGUUCUCCUGGCUUGAUUACUUAUAAUAUAGUGAUUAAUGGCUUGGCUCAAUUGGGUUAUAUGGAGAAAGCAAUGGGAUUGUAUGGUCAGAUGAUAGAGAAGGGGAUAUUUCCUGAUGACAUUACCCAUCAUUCUUUGAUUUGGGGAUUUUUCCGGGUAGAUCAAGCUGAGCAAGGUAUGAAGAUACUGAAGGAGAUGGCCAAAAGAAACCACAAGGUUAGGAAUAGUGCUUACAGAUUUAUGAUCCAAGGAUUGUGCAAGAGCAAGAAGGUGGAUAUUGCAAUACAAGUUCUUGAAAUGAUGAUAUCAAGUCGAUGCAAGCCAGAUGAGAUGAUUUAUUCCACGCUAAUCAAAGGUAUAGGUGCUGCUGGUAUGACUGACGAGGCUGGUCAGUUAUGUCAAAAGUUGAAUGAGUGGAAGGUUCUUAGAGAAGAUAUCACGCUGGAUUAAACAGCAUAUAUGAAAAUCUUCCCUCUUGUACACUUCUGCAGGCAUUAGUCCACCAGUUUCUCAUUACUGUUAUACCGACCGUGCUUUCUGAUGAGGACUCAAAUGCUUUCAUAUAGAUCAAGAUCAAGUGUUUGAAGAGAUUGAAAGAUGAUUAUGCUUAGAGACAUGAGUUAUGAUGAAGCUAAUUGAAGAAAGAGCUCAAGAUAGACACAAGGAAUGGAAGCAAAUGUAUGAAGACUUAGUGUUUAGAAAGUUAUAGUUUAUAAGAAGUCUCAUGUAAGUACUUCACGAUUUCAAUAUGGAUGUUUGAAGCUCUUGGGAACAAUAGUUGACUUAGAGACCUAUUUUUGAAAAGCAUGGAAAAUAUUAAAAAAAAAAAAUCUCAUUUAAGUUUUCCAAGAUUAAAAGUUAAAGUCAAAGUUUUGAAAAGCAUAUAAGCUGCAAAGACAGGCGACUGAUGGAAUUUAAUUAUGCGACUGAUAUUUUUAUGCUGACAAUGUUAAACAAAUAGAGCCGAGAUAGGCAACUGACCCUGUAGGUCACAGUCGACUGACUCAACACAGUGUUUUCAAAAUACGCUGAACUUAAAAGGCACAGGUGACUGACCCUCAGGUUACAGUCGACUGAAGUUCUUAUUUUAACUUUUAAACAGUGAGGGAAAGUUUUCAUAACUGAUUUCUUGACUCCCAAACUUGGAGAAAACUUGGAAAAUACGGCAAGUAACUUGGGGACAACGAUAAUAUGCUUUAUGACUCUAUAAAUACUUGUUAUUUUCAUAAAUUAUACACAAAAAUCAAGUACAUACAAAUUACAAAUUCAAAGUUUUCCUGCUGAAAUAUUUUCUAAAGUAAAGCUGUGCUUUUGCUAAAACAACCCAUGGUUUUUUGAUCUUUUCUACUGAUAAUUUCAAUUCAAAUCAGAACCCUGGUGAUAUUCUAUUGAGCUUCACUUUUCUAUAUUGUUUAUUACUGAGGUAUAUUGUAUUUCAAUUGUACAAAUAUGCUCUAACUGAGAGUUUUACUUGUACGAAACAAAAGUUGCUCUUUGUUUCUUGUUUUCUUGACGAUUCAAGAUUGUUGGAUCAUUGCCUAGCGAGAGGGGAUUCUCAUUAGAGAGGCGAACUCCACCUUUGAGGGAGAGAGGUUGUAACUUCACCUGUUAAUGAAGUUGGGAAAGGAAAAUCAGCACAACGUGUUGCUUGGGGCAAGGACGUAGGCUUCUGGCCGAACCUUGUAAAAAAUCUGGUCUUCAGCUCUUCUUCCCUAAUCUCUUUACUUUAUUGCAAGUUUAUAAUUUGCGUGUAUGUUUAUUGAGAACUUGCUGCAUAUUGGAAGUUUUUGGAAGUUUCUGAAAUACUGAUUUUGUUUCUUGAAAUUAAGAAACUAUAUUGUUUAUCUUUGAUUGGUUUAAUAUACUAAAGAGUAAAAUUGAAUUCUGAUUUUU